AAAAUUAGGAUAUUGGGCAUCAUACCUGAUGUUUUGUUCUGCUGUUUGCUGUUGGAGCCUGGGUACUGCACUCUGUGCUGUUUGCAUUGUACUAAAACACGCCUGAGUUUCGCUCUGACUGCUGUCCCCGGGGCCCUCAUGAAGAAGAGAUUCAUAGAUUCAUAUCUCAUGAGAUUACCCCACUGAGCAAAGAAAUGAAAUAAAUAAUGUAACUCUUUUAGUUCUGUCAAGUAUAGUAGCUCACAGAAAGAGCUUUUAAAGGCAGUGUCAGCAUGGGCUAGAUACUGCAUCAGUGCAGGGAAAAAAAGACAUCCUUUCUAAGAACAGUGCUGCAAAAUGAGGCCAAUGUGAGCCUAAUGGGUGGUGGAAAACAGUAAGCCUUUUUUUUCCCCCCCACUCCCUAAUGCAAGCCUGCAGGGGUUUAUUUGCCAGUGUGUAUGAGUCUUAGAUCAAAUCAGCUUGCUGAAACUGUACUACAACAGGAGCUCAAAAUAAAUCAUUAGAGUAGUAGGCAUCUUAUUUGGGAACCAAUCGGAGUUUGUGCCGCUUGUUUCUCCUUAGCAGCUUUAAUGAAUUUAUCAACACAAACUAGGAAAUAAAAGAUCUUACAGUAGUCUCCAUUAGGGUGAAGCCCACCAGAAAUCCAGUUCCUUCCACAGUACAAUACAAUGCUUCUAAAAGACGGAAAAGUUUGUUAUGAUAAUUUAGUCAUGUGCGAAGGAGAGCUGAAAUGAGUUUAAUAAUUUUGUGGUACUGUAACUUUAGAAAGAAAUGUUCCCCGGAAAAAUUGCUCUUCCCUGUACUGCAGAAAAUCUUGCAAAAGCCCACUUGAAAUGUGUCUAUCAACGUGCACUAACUCAGCCAGCAGGGCCAUAAUGUCAAUAUAUGUGAAGUAUUUUGGAGAACAGGAAAAGGCAAAAUACAUGCUUGAAAGACCCAAUGAAAACAGAUGAAAAAAGUGAUGUGUGCUACUAUUAUACAACUUUUUGCCUGUAUUUCUGGAGAAGUUUUAAAUGUAUAGCUGCUGCUGCAACCACAGCUAGAAACUAGCCAGCAGGCUAGCCAGGGCUGGAGUGGGGACGAAGGAAUACUGGACAAGAGAUUGGAAUCGCCUAGGAAAGGCUAUCAAGGCUGGGAGCUGCAGAAGGAAAAACAUCAGGUAAGGGACUGGGACUGGCUGAAAAACUAGGG
RNAcentral lists this long non-coding RNA (1191 nucleotides) under Anser brachyrhynchus (Pink-footed goose). RNAcentral describes it as "lncRNA (ENSABRG00000016041.1)". Lineage: Eukaryota; Metazoa; Chordata; Aves; Anseriformes; Anatidae. The record is from RNAcentral.